RNAcentral lists this ribosomal RNA (253 nucleotides) under uncultured bacterium. RNAcentral's name for it is "partial 16S ribosomal RNA". It matches the Rfam family "Bacterial small subunit ribosomal RNA", at positions 524 to 776 of the family's 1533-position model. The record is from RNAcentral.
UACGGAGGAUCCAAGCGUUAUCCGGAAUCAUUGGGUUUAAAGGGUCCGUAGGCGGCUUUAUAAGUCAGUGGUGAAAUCUGGCGGCUCAACCGUCAAAUUGCCAUUGAUACUGUAGGGCUUGAAUGUUUGUGAAGUAACUAGAAUAUGUAGUGUAGCGGUGAAAUGCUUAGAUAUUACAUGGAAUACCCAUUGCGAAGGCAGGUUACUAACAAAUGAUUGACGCUGAUGGACGAAAGCGUGGGGAGCGAACAGG